GUGGUACUCAGCAGCACACACACUAAGGAUUGAAACGAUACAGAGUUAGCAUGGCCCCUGAGCAAGGAUGAUAUGCAUAUUCAUGAAGUGUUCCUCUUUUUU
This is a small nuclear RNA of Onychomys torridus (southern grasshopper mouse), 102 nucleotides long. NCBI's taxonomy places the organism in Eukaryota, Metazoa, Chordata, Mammalia, Rodentia, Cricetidae. The record is from RefSeq and is a predicted model, not a curated record.